AUGUCUAGCUCGACUUCGGCCUCCCGCCAAUCAUGGACGCAGUACGGUCCACUGCCGUUGACAAGAUGCCCCGAUUGCCCGCGCAUGGAGCCUCUGAAGCGUUUGACUUGUGUGAGGGAAGAAAAUGGCAACCGUGGGCGCGAGUUUGUGAAAUGCUUGAGCAAGCCACAACCGGGGCAGGUUCGGAAGAAAUGUGGGCAUUUUGAGUGGCUCGAUGACUAUGUUGAAAGGUUGAAAUUGGAGGGAUCAACCCGAACCCAAGAGCUCAAUUUUGGGGGGCGGCUUGUCGUGGAACAAGCCCCCAAUUUGGCGGCGGACAGAGCCGAUCUAAUGAUGCACAGUGCAGAACUGCAGUGUGAAUUGAAGAAAAUUGGCAAGCAACUAAAGCAUCUGAUCGAUUUGAAGCAGCAAGCAAAUAUGAUGGCUGGAGCAUUGUAUGGUUGUGUCAUUGCUAUGGGUUUAUUUUACUUGAUGUUC
Molecule: ribosomal RNA, 477 nt
Filed under: Triticum aestivum (bread wheat)
Lineage: Eukaryota; Viridiplantae; Streptophyta; Magnoliopsida; Poales; Poaceae
Description: partial small subunit ribosomal RNA
Source: RNAcentral